RNAcentral lists this unclassified non-coding RNA (226 nucleotides) under uncultured fungus. RNAcentral describes it as "sequence contains ITS1, 5.8S rRNA gene". The stretch from base 178 to 226 matches the Rfam family "5.8S ribosomal RNA", at positions 1 to 49 of the family's 154-position model. The record is from RNAcentral. Lineage: Eukaryota; Fungi.
UCUCCGUAGGUGAACCUGCGGAGGGAUCAUUAUCAGUGAUGGGGGGCGUCCGCGCUCCCGUCCUCAACCCUUUGUUGACCAAACCACUUUUGCCUCGGGGGCAGAGCGGCCUCCGCCGCCCCCGGUGGACCAUUCAACCCUGUCUCUGUACGUCGGAGUCUUUGAUGAAUAAAUGAAAACUUUUAACAACGGAUCUCUUGGUUCUGGCAUCGAUGAAGAACGCAGC